RNAcentral lists this ribosomal RNA (1107 nucleotides) under Triticum aestivum (bread wheat). RNAcentral describes it as "partial small subunit ribosomal RNA". Lineage: Eukaryota; Viridiplantae; Streptophyta; Magnoliopsida; Poales; Poaceae. The record is from RNAcentral.
AUGAUUGAUAGGUCUUGGUGCAAACGUUUCAACUGGAGAAUUUCUUAUGUCCCUCAAGUGAUUGUGGUAAAGUAUGAAGAGACGGUAUUGUACUUACAAAUGCACCAACAACAUAUGCCGGCCAGGGCCGAAUGCAUACCUGGUGGCAGGAGCUGCCGCGCAAACGCCUCUCCGUCAUCAAGGCCACACUCCAACUGUGAGCUGCAAGAGAUACACCUUCAGAAUAGGCGAUUUACAUGGAGUAACAAGAGGACGAACCCGGCGCUCUGCAAAUUGGACUCCUUCUUUUGCAACGCCGAAUGGGAUAUCCAGUUUAACACCCACAUCCUACAUGCUCUCUCAUCGUCUCUAUCGGAUUAUUGCCCCCUCAUGCUCGCUGAUGUGAGGGGACCAAGAAGACCACAUGCUUUCAAGUUCGAAAACUUCUGGCCCAAAAUGACGGGCUUCUCGGAGAUCGUUCGUAAAGCUUGGAACGAACAAACAAAUCAUGCUGAGCCAUACCAACUGCUACACCACAAGCUCAAGACGACCGGCCACCGUCUCGCAGAGUGGAGUGGGGGCCUUUUUUCAAAGGCAAAGCUUCAUUUACAUGCGGCCCUACUAGUCAUCCUACACCUCGACUUGGCCCAAGAGGAACGGAUCCUCUCCUUAGAGGAAAAAGAUCUCCGAACAAAGCUAAAGAGAAGGGUCAUUUGCCUUUCGGUGUUGGAAAGGACACGGAAGAAGCAAUGUGCAAGAAUGGCAAGCUUGAAGGAAGGGGAUGCAAACACAAAAUUCUUCCAUCGUCGGAUAAAUGCUAGGAGGCGAAAGAACCACAUCUUUAGAAUUCAACAUAACCAUGGUUGGGUCACCGACCACGACGCUAAGGAGGUUCUAAUUCAUGACCACUUCUCUGAAAUGAUGGGGAAAGGAGCCCACAGAACAAAGGACCUAAACUGGGAGGAAACCUCCACGGCGCCAACCUGCACUGGCUCAACUCAGCCAAUGUCGUUCUCCUCCCCAAAAAAGGUGCUGAAGGGAUCUCAGAUUACCGGCCAAUUAGCCUCAUUCAUGGGAUUGCGAAGAUCAUUGCCAAAAUCCUCGCCAACCGCCUGCGACCACAUAUGA